UGGGGAAUUUUGGACAAUGGGGGAAACCCUGAUCCAGCCAUCCCGCGUGUGCGAUGAAGGCCUUCGGGUUGUAAAGCGCUUUUUGGCAGGAAAGAAACGUCGCGGGUUAAUACCCCGCGAAACUACGGUACCUGCAGAAUAAGCACCGGCUAACUACGUGCCAGCAGCCGCGGUAAUACGUAGGGUGCAAGCGUUAAUCGGAAUUACUGGGCGUAAAGCGUGCGCAGGCGGUUCGGAAAAGAAAGAUGUGAAAUCCCCAGAGCUUAACUUUGGAACUGCAUUUUUAAACUACCGGGCUAGAGUNUGUCAGAGGGAGGUGGAAUUCCCGUGUAGCAGUGAAAUGCGUAGAUAUGCGGAGGAGCACCGAUGGCGAAAGGCAGCCUCCUGGGAUAACACUGACGCUCAUGCACGAAAGCGUGGGGAGC
This 425-nucleotide ribosomal RNA is filed under the name uncultured bacterium. RNAcentral describes it as "partial 16S ribosomal RNA". It matches the Rfam family "Bacterial small subunit ribosomal RNA", at positions 355 to 769 of the family's 1533-position model. The record is from RNAcentral.